This 174-nucleotide non-coding RNA is filed under the name Clostridium neonatale. Its description in RNAcentral is "Lysine riboswitch aptamer". It matches the Rfam family "Lysine riboswitch aptamer". Rfam says of the family: Riboswitches are metabolite binding domains within certain messenger RNAs that serve as precision sensors for their corresponding targets. The record is from Rfam by way of RNAcentral. Lineage: Bacteria; Bacillati; Bacillota; Clostridia; Eubacteriales; Clostridiaceae.
GUAAGAGAUAGAGGCGCAAUAUUUAAUAGUAAUAUUAUGGAGCUAAGCACUUUGAAGUAAUAUGAAAGGAAAUAUUGCCGAAGUCUAUAACUAAUGCUUUAAGGUUAUAGAGCUGGGGUUGCAUAGAAUAUAUGCAAAACUGUCACAAGUACUUUGUGGUGAGCUAUCAUUCGU